Molecule: ribosomal RNA, 400 nt
Filed under: uncultured bacterium
Lineage: Bacteria
Description: bacterial SSU rRNA
Rfam family: Bacterial small subunit ribosomal RNA
Source: RNAcentral
UGGGGAAUAUUGCGCAAUGGGCGGAAGCCUGACGCAGCAACGCCGCGUGAGGGAACGAAGGCCUUCGGGUUGUAAACCUCUUUCAGCAGGGACGAAGCGGAAGUGACGGUACCUGCAGAAGAAGCACCGGCUAACUACGUGCCAGCAGCCGCGGUAAUACGUAGGGUGCGAGCGUUGUCCGGAUUUAUUGGGCGUAAAGGGCUCGUAGGCGGUCCGUCACGUCGGAAGUGAAACCCCGGGGCUCAACUCCGGGCCUGCUUUCGAUACGGGCGGACUUGAGUUCGGUAGGGGAGACUGGAACUCCUGGUGUAGCGGUGGAAUGCGCAGAUAUCAGGAAGAACACCGAUGGCGAAGGCAGGUCUCUGGGCCGAUACUGACGCUGAGGAGCGAAAGCGUGGGG